AGUGAACGCUGGCGGCGUGCCUAAUACAUGCAAGUCGAACGGAGAGGCGCACGGGUGAGUAAUGUAUAGGUAAUCUGGCCUAAACUAGAGGGAAACAGUUGGAAACGGCUGCUAAUACCCUCAAUUGCAGGAUGUGGCGCUAUUGUAUCAUCUAGUUGGUGAGGUAAUGGCUCUCCAAGGCUAUGACGCAUAACUGGUCUGAGAGGAGGAUCAGGCACCCUCGACGUGAGACACCGUCGAGACUCCUAGGAGAGGCGGCGGUAGGGAGUCUUGCCCAUUGGGGGAAACCCUGAAGCAGCAACGCCUCGUGGAGGAUGACCCGUUGCGGAGCAUAAACUCCUGUUGUUAGGGAAGCGGUACCUAACGAAUAAGCACCGGCUAACACCGUGCCAGCAGCCGCGGUAAUAC
This 408-nucleotide ribosomal RNA is filed under the name uncultured bacterium. Its description in RNAcentral is "partial 16S ribosomal RNA". It matches the Rfam family "Bacterial small subunit ribosomal RNA", at positions 29 to 526 of the family's 1533-position model. The record is from RNAcentral.